Molecule: long non-coding RNA, 5432 nt
Organism: Chelonia mydas (Green sea turtle)
Lineage: Eukaryota; Metazoa; Chordata; Testudines; Cheloniidae
Exons: 2
Source: RefSeq, a predicted model, not a curated record
AAGGUACCACAAGUCCUCCUUUUCUUUUUGCAAAUACAGACUAACACAGCUGCUACUCUGAAACCUGUCUUUAUAAAGAGUUACUUAUGCUUCAUAGCUCCAUUGAAAGGAGGGUAUUACAAUCCCAUACUGAACAUGGGAAGUGACUUGCCCUGAGAUGACAGGGCCACCAGAGGAUCAUUACCUUACGAAGUGAUCAACAGAAAAAAGAGCUGAACAGGUGUUUCUAGUCCCUGCUGUUCACAAGCUAUUUGCCUCUGAAACUAUGUCAGGUCUCCACUGGUCCCUCAUUCUUGGCACCAGUCCAGGAUUGAAUAUAGCAAAUCCCAGACCUUCGACUAGUGUAACCUGCACACCUUGUUACUAUAACAGACAGCUGCCAUAUUUUACAUCCUUUUUUAGGAUUUGAAGUACAGGAAAAAAACCUAUUGCCCUCACAUUGCCUUUGAAAGCUCAAGUCAGAACCAUUACUACUGGUUUUCAGUGCAUCCAUCUUUUCCCACCAAGUCACAAGAACGUAAGAGCUGACCUACUGGGUCAGAUCAAGGUCCAUCUUGCCCAAGAUCCUGUCUCUGGCAGUGGCCUGCACCAAAGCUUCAGGGGGAGUGUACAGAACAGGGCAACUAUAGAGCGAUCCACCCAGUCUUCCACGCCCAGCUUCUGGCAGUCAGAGGUUUAGGGUCACCUUGAGCACAGACUUGCACCCCUGACCAUCCUGGCUAAUAGCCAUUGAACUCUAAAAGUCCCCCCCAAAAAGACCAACCAACCAUGUGUCUUCCAAAGGGCCUGUUAAGCAUAGUCCUCUCAGAGGAGUGAGACACUAGAUGUUAAAUCUUGACCAAAUAAAAGUGGAACUACAAAGGCAUGCUACAGUACGAACGUAUUUAUACUGCUCUCAUCGCCAUAGUACCUGAGUGCCUUCCAACAGGGCAUUAAACAAGGUGACUAACAUCUGUUGUGUCUGUUCUCUCAUCCGCUCCCCAGGGAGAGGCGUGUGUGCAGACGCACGUUACUAUGAAUUUGUGUCACAGAAAGCAAAAUCAAAGAACUGUGCACUUGGCACAGAAGGUGGUGAGGUUUGUGAUGGUCCCUGGCUCCUGGGGCAGUUCAUUCUAGUGUGUUGGGCCAGCCCCCAAGAAAGCUGUCUCCUGCACAGAUGAGCUUUACCCUUAUUGUAGAAACUCCCUUUGUGCCAGAGGAGUGAAGUUAUCAGCUACAGUCUUUAUCUCAGAGUUGUAGGUGAUCUUUUAGAUACCCUGGGCCCAGGCGAUGGAGACAAGAACCAAAACCUGACUCAAUAUUCUGUGGGAAGCCAGUGGAGGGAGAAGGGGACAGAUUUGAUGUGUUGGCUGUAGCAUGGUGUCCCUAACCUGUUUGCCAGAAGCUGGGAACAGGUGACAGGGGAUGGAUCACUUGAUGAUUCCCUGUUCUGUUCAUUCCCUCUGGGGCACCUGGCACUGGCCACUGUCAGAAGACAGGACACUGGGCUAGAUGGACCUUUGGUCUGACCCGGUAUGGUCAUUCUUAUGUUCGCUAAAGAGACACUGAGAUUCACCUUUCAGUCAGUGCAUUUGCUGACUAAUCUAAUCCCAUCCGUUUACAUGAUAGCUACUGUUGAGGACCAUAAGCACUCAGGACAGGGAUGUCUUCAUAUCCGUUUGUAAAAUGCCUGGCACGCUGUUGGCCCUCUACAAGUUGUUUCCCACCAUUCUCCUCCCCUCAUCUCCUCCCACCAAAAAGACCUUUUAGAAGAAAUCUGUUCUUGGGCAGUCUUGAAAAAUAAAUGGUCACUUUACAUGGCCCAUUAUGCCUUUUUAAAUUGCCAUUGAACUUUCUAUUCCCAUUCCAGGCAAGACCACAGCAAAGUAAAGACUCAAAUGGGACACUCAACGCCCCCAGCCCUGUCAGUAAAGGAGUGCCAGUAAGAGGGGCAUACCCUGCUGCUGCUGCCCAUUCUGUACCUGGUCUGUUGUAUUUUUGCCAGGGUUUAGUCAAUCUGGCAUCAAUCCCCUUCCCCAGAAUCCUAUUGUAAAUUCAGAUUUAAAUAGGAUGACACAUGCCAGUCAUCAUCAUGAUCAAUUUAAAACAAAACCCACCAGAUACAUGAGAAUCUGGAGGGCAGAUUAUAGAAUUUAGCAGCAGGUCACACUUUAGAUCGAACUAUUUGACAAUGUCUCAGAUGGAAAAGUCACCGCAACAAGGAGCGAACGCUUCUGGUUUCACCUGAGUGCAAGCACAAUACCACCAAGUAGGACAUGCAAUAUCCUCCUUUGUACAAGAUAAAAUAAAAACGGCUUGUAUUGCUCUGUAAAUACACAAGCGGGGCAAGCGGUGGUAUUCUUUAGUGCCUUGAAUUCUUGGGCAGCAGUAAUCAAUAGGAUUCUAGGUUUAUUUGCAGUGGGUAAUUCAUCCUUAUUAGCAAGGGUGAUUUCUUAUUGAAUGAGACACAUCAAUAUUCUGUGCAGUUCAGAGCCAGCUGUUCUCAGGAUAAACAAGAAAAGCAUAAUUUCAUUUCAAAACCUGACUUUAGCCUCAAAGUGGCAAUUACCAUUAGUAAAUUGAUGGGACAACACAAUUUGUUUACAAGCAAGAUCCAACUGACGGAGUAUCCAAGUCUAUUCUCCAGGAUUCUUUAGAGCAGGAAUUUUCUCAGAAAAUAAAAAUACUUUGUUCCCCUCUAGUGCCUUUCAGCCAGGGAACGCAAACUGCUUUGCAAGCAUUAAUCAAGCUCCACGACACCCUCAUAAGGUAGGUAAAGGAUAGAUGUAGGGAUCGCUUUCAUCAGCACUGAGAUUUGACUGCAUCUGGAGCGGAAUACAACCACUCAACAGAAGACUGCAAUACAGUGCAAUGGUUUAGGACAGAAAGUGAAGAAGAAUACUGUACACAAUUGAAACCCUAAGUGUGGGGUGGUUUGAGAAAAUAAGAGUUUUUGUGAACUGAAAUGUGAUUAAUUAGACUGAUUAUGCCAUGGAACUCUUCGUAACCAUUAGCAGUAAGUUUUGGUUCUGCAGCUCAUCCCAGAGAUAGAACCUCCUACAGGAAAACAGCCCCUAGCACCACCCUCGGAUAUUAUUUCAUUACUGAUUAAGGGACGAGCAUCUCCUAGUGACACUGAACACACCUCGUCCCAAAGCACCUCAGAGAUCUCCACUGACCUGGCCCAACCUUGAAUAGCUUGUGAGCUGUGAUGGAAUCACAGCCCAGUGUGCUAAGGUUGCAGGCCAUGAGAUCACCCAGUCCAGUUUUUCUGAUGUAACUUAGGUACCUAUAUGGCCCCGAUCAGAGUAGCUGUCUCACAGUCUUUAACGUAUUUAUCCUCUCAAGCCCCCUGUGAAACAGGUAAGUGCUAUUAUUUCCAUUUUUAUAGAUGGAGAACUGAAGUACAGAAAAACUAAGUGACUUACCAAAGGUCACAAAGUCAAUCUGUGGCAGAGUGAGGAACAGAACCAUGGUCAGUAUCCAGCCCACUGGACUAUUUCUCCCCUCAUUAUCUCAAGAGAAGGUUACAAAAUACAUUCUGUUGCAACUUGGGGUCACAGUAUGGCAAAGGUCGUUGAUGCUGGUUACCAAUCCUGUUGCCAUACAUGGCACUCACUAAAGGUCAAUUACAGCCCUGGAAGAAACAAUCAACAUUAGGGAUGUGACGAAUAUUGGCACAUGGUAGGUUGAGUGCAUCAGUUUAGUGGACUUCAAAACAGUAUGUAGCAGAUGCAUCUCAGUGGCCAGAAUUUAUAUAGCACACCAAAAAUAACGUAUGCUGCAAAUCCCAGUUUUACUAUUUGGAUUGAAUACCAAAUAGCUGCCUUCUGUACUGGCUGAGCACAAAAUCCCAAUAAUCCUGUGAGAUUGGGUGGUGCUUCAUUCAAUAAAUGGAGAUUCAAGAAGAGAGAAUGCUGCCAUUAGCAAGACCCACAGAGACAGCAUCACAAAUAUACAGAUUUAAAUGGCGGUGCACCUGCUUACACCAGAUCAAAAGCCAGCCCUUUGUUCCCACCAAACGCCACAGAUCUACAGCUACCAUCUCACUGAACAAAGGCUAACUUGAUCCGCACAGACAUGGCUGUUCAACAUGUAGAAACAGGGAGAGACACUCACCACCACUGGCAAACACUAGAAUCCUGUCAUCUGGUAUAACCAAUACCUUACAAUGAGAACUAUGGUCUCACCACUUGUACAGAACACUGUUGAUUCAUGAAGUGUAGCUAUCCCCUCCAAGAACGUCAUCACAAUUCAACAUUUUCACCCCCCAUCUUGGUGUUCCCCUCCUCCACCCCUUACACAAACACUUUCAAUCAGGCUAUGAAGCGAUAUGCAGGAGGGACACUAAAUGUACAGCCAGCAAUGAGAAGCCUGAAUCUUCUGUUCUCCCUGAAAAGCCACGACGAGCCUCCAAAGGAUGCCAUCUUUAAAAUGGUUUAAUUCUUCAAUGCAACUCAUGAGCCAUUCACAAAUGGGACUCAAUCUUUCUGGCUCGCUCUUUUUCUCCUAUUUGCACAACUUUACACGCUUUUUGGAGGGGUGGGGAGGAAGGAAGGCAAGAACAAGCUUCCCCCCACCCACUGCAGAUUCAGCUGCCAACAAUCAUCAUUGUUGGUCCUGUCUACACAGGGCCACAAAGUAUCAAAAUACAGUCAAAAACCAGUUCAGACCCACUCAAUUUAAAUUUGGUCUAGCACAGUCAGUAUGGAUGAAGACAGACACUGUUAAAGCGAGUUAUAGCCUGAACUGAUGUAAAAAAUAACUCCCAAUCUGCAUGCACUAAUAUCUCCACACACAUCAUCUACUUUUGCCCACCAUCCACUGUGUUUGCAUCAGCUGCUAGCAAGCCUGUUUAACCACAAGGGAGGCCUAGCUGUUACCAGAAUAAAUUAAUGGACCCAAGGGUGUAUCUUUACAAAACAAGCAGACAGAUUGCAUAAAAUGGUUGUUUGUCUGAUUUGUCCAUGGAACAGUUUGGCCCAACUAAAACUAUUUUUGACACAACCCUCACAAUCACGAUUGUACCAACACAUUCUGGCACUCCCAAAGGGUUUAUCCAAUAGGGAUGUGUAUUCUAUAGCUAUCAAGUUCAUCCUUUGCAGCAAAAUGGGCUCCAGAAUGUAAGCUUCUAAAAAAAAAAAAAAAAAAAAAAAUGUCUCUAGCCCUUACAGUUGCAAAGAUAACCUUGAAAAUAUACUUAAACUUUAGAGAGCACACAGCCUGAAUAGGAGGGGUGAGGUGUGACCCACCUCAUUCAUCUCAAGAAGCAGUUACCUCUGAAACCUACAGACAGCAGUGACAUUGCCAACACCAUUAACACUCUCACUGCUGACCACUGAAGCAAACCUUCAGUCAUUUUUUUUAUUCCACAGUUACAAAAUAAAUGCCACAGGGCUACUGGAACAAUAUUAUUCAUUUUUGUAUUUCAUAAAAACCUCUUAAAAAAGAAA